ACAUGCAUGCAUACUGGAAGUGACUUCUUUUUUCCUUGGAAUUAUGUCUAUCAGUGAAACCUUGUCAGAGCUUGAUGAGAUAAUUUAAGGACUGGAAGAAGUACAGAUGAAUCACUGCAGUGCUAUGCUUGUCCUAAAUGUACCUGCUGAGAAGAAUUACCUCCAGUAAAUACCAUUUAAGAAGUAAACUUUCCGAAUGUAUCCCUGAGAAUCAGAGGUCAAUUAAAUAACCUACAAACCAGCAGGAAAAUUCCAUUCCCUGUUCAAGAAGUGGAUGAACAUGUGGUGGACGUCUGGAUGGCUUGAGACUGGUAAAGGAGAUCCUGAUCUGGCAUAAAAGAAGACUGAGAAGUAUCCCUGAUUUCUACAGCAUCAGAACAUGUCGCAGUGGGGAUCUGCUAUAAAUGGAGAUUAGCUAUAAAUUGAGAAAGAAACAUGUAGACUCAGAAUAUUUAUUUUUACAGCUGUCCAAAUAAUGACAACAUUUCUUGUGCAAAUGCUAAGACACUAACUGUAAUGUUGUGUCCAAGUUUAAGCUCUGCACUUAGACAAAAGAUAAUGGACCAUUUCAAAAUAUCCAGAGUGCAAUGAAAAUGUUGUAAGAUUCUGGAAGUAUGAUCAGUAAGAAAGGGCUGAAAAUGUGUCUGAUAAAUACACUAUGAAGUCAUUGGGAUUCUUUAAUAAAAAACAAAACAAAACAAACUGAUAAGGAACAUAAUAGUGAUCAUCAAACAUAAAAAGUUGUCCAAAAAAAUAAAUGAAUAGUUUUUCCUUCAUGUCCACUGUGGAUAGUACAAAAAGCAAUGGCCUUUUUAAUAGUGGCAAGAGAAAUUUAACUUGGAUGUUAAAAAAAAAAAAGGAAUAAAUAAAUAAAAAAAAUCCACUUUCCAACAGUAAGGAUAAUUAGGUACUGGAAUAGAUUGCCUGGUGAGGCUACAGAAGCUCUAUCAUCAUUAAAGCCUUUAAAGAGCAGGCUGGACAAACACUCAUUUGGAAUAAUAAAGAUCUACUUGAUCUAUGGUGGGCAAAAGAUGAACAAUGUGAUUGACUGAAAGCCUGUAUAGAUCUGUUUUCUCCUCUUCAGUGAUAAUUGCUUAGCACUAUGGGGAAUAACAUAUGUUCAUCAAAUACAAACCAGAAACACCUGAGAGCAGCAAAAAAAAAAAAAAAUCAUUUUAUUUUUGCAUGGAAAAUAUGAAAAUAAAUCAAAUAAUCUGGAAGACCAGUCACUUCUGAAUAACAAGUUCUCUAAAUUAAAACUUAAAGAGUUCUUACACUGUGAUUACAAAUCCAUGGAAAGAUUGUGUUUGAAAAAUAAACAAACAAUUGCAAGGUUAGGAAAAAUCCUAUCAAUUCCCUGCUAACCUUUUUUAACAUACCAUUUUAUUUGACAAUAAUAACAGGAAACAAGCAGAUUAGAGUAUCUGUUCAUGCUCAGAACUGUAGAGGCAGAAAAAAGUCUCCUCCUUCCUAUAAUACAUCAUUUGCAUUAUUCUGGAUUUCCAGAGCUAUAGACUCUAGAGAUCAGACUUCAUAUCCUGAUCCUUUAUUCACACUGUAGCCAAGUUCAAUUAAAUAUUUUUCAAGAGGUUCCUCAGUACAUCAACCCAGGAGCAGGAAACAGCUUUGUAGCUGAGUGACUUACAUGGAAGGGGAAAUAGACAAUGAUGCAUAAUUAUUUCUUUGGUCUUACCCAGGAAACUAUCUCACCACUCUUGAAGUACAAGCUUGCUGUAAUCAUUAGGGCAUAGUUAAUAAAAACAGCUCAUUAUUGUCUUGGAGAUCCUAUCUUCUAAUGAUGCCCUUUGGACUGAAAUAUAUGCAAACGAAGAUUAGUUACUUUAGAACCUUAACUAUAUGCACUUGUAAAUAUGAAAAAUUAAUUGCUAAGUGUAAUAUUUAUCACGAGGAGCUCUAGAUAUCCUGUUUAACCUAACGAGCAAAUAAUAAAAUAUGCUUUUUGAAGUAGACACUUAUUUAACAAUGCUUCUGUCCCAAGUUUUCAGAAACCUGUGUAAAUAUGCACCAGACCAAAUAUGCACAGAUUUAUCCCCUUAUCCUGGUGUGCAUAAUGUUAACAUGCUUUACACUUUGAUAAUGGUCCAGAAUUUCUUGGCUUCUGUAAGAGAAUUUGCACAUCAAUUCAGAAGGAAGUAAAUUACUGGAGAAAAUGUAUGGUGUAACAAAACUGCUGUCUGACAGCAUGAGAACAAUGAAGUGCUUUCAUAAGUAAAUGGUGCAUAUCUCAUGAUAUGUUCUCGGGAGGGGAUCAGCUGAGGCAGACCCAUACAGAAAAAAUGUUACAGUCAGAAAUAUCAUCCUGCCCAUAUAGAGCAGAAAUUGAGCUAUUGGAAUAAUUGAUCUUUCAGUGAUUUUUUAGUUCUGAUAAAUACAUGAAGAAAUAUAAAAAAAUGGUUUGGAUGGAUCUUUUUUUUUUUUUUAUGCAUAAGAAUACUAGAUGAACUGAGAUGCUUCUAAAGAAAAGUAACCUAUGUUUUGAUUUUAAGAUACAUGCUUUUAUAAAAUAGAAAAGUCUCUUGACAUACGAGACAUACGAAGCCAUUUUAAUACUGAAAGAUCCCAAAGUUUAAGUCCUAGAGUAAUGAAAGCUGGAAUGUUCUGAUGUUUCAGAACUUCUUUUUCUUUUGUUUUAAAAGUAAAAAUCAACAUAAAAUGAGAAAUGAGAAAAUUAGAUGGCAGUAGUUUUUCUGCUGCUUCCUCAGUGUGGUCUUGUCUUUUGCUCCUGACCCUGAGCACAGAACACAAAUAGGAAAGGACGUGAAAGGGUUAUACUAUCACAACAAAGUUUUGUUGGCAAAUGUUAAUAUAUUUUAUUAAAUCAGUUGACAUAACUGGGUGGAAAAAGAACACAGACAAGAUUUCAAACAUAUAAACUGUUCUUCAGAUCAGAAACAGAAUUGGCCAGAGUUAUAAAUUGCAAUUACUGAUUAUUACCUGCUAAUAAUAUAUGUUGCUUUCCCUUCAAAAUUUUCCUUGCUUAUGUCUUUAUUAUCAGAACUACAGUGUGACAUAAUAUUUCCAGUUGCUUUUCACAGAAAACACCGGCGUUCUGGGGAUUUUCUAUUUCAAUAGAAAUAGAAAUUCUGGGAAAGACUCAUACUUAUUUUAACAAUCUUUGAAAAUAAAUGAUAUUAAAAAUCAGAUGGUUUCAUUUAACUGCCUGUGUUUGAUCUUUAGGGAGAAGACAGCCAAACCUUCUCUUUCUUUCCUUUCUCCUAUUUAUUUUUUCCUUUGGGAGCUUCAGUUUUUCUUGGCUUUCCUCUUGAAUCCUUGAGCUUCUGUCACCAUCUCAACAAUUACAAUUCUCUCUGUGCUUUUGCUUAUCUUGCACUACUUGAGUUCAUGGACUUUCUCAGACUUUAACAAUUUUCUCUGUGAAACAUCCAGGGUAACACAGCUGUGCUGAACCAAAUUAAGCCUUGGGUUACCAAAAGCUGGUCCACAGGGCUGAAGGUUGCAAGAUGACAAUGUGUCCACCUUGCAGUGAAAUAUAUUCCUUGGCUGUGUGCACUGUUCUGAAUUCAAUAAAUAAGAAGGUUUUAA
Long non-coding RNA from Anas platyrhynchos (mallard), 3564 nucleotides. RefSeq lists it as uncharacterized. NCBI's taxonomy places the organism in Eukaryota, Metazoa, Chordata, Aves, Anseriformes, Anatidae. The record is from RefSeq and is a predicted model, not a curated record.